GAGUUUGAUCCUGGCUCAGGACGAACGCUGGCGGCGUGCCUAAACUUAUGCAAGUCGAACGAGAAAGGGCUGUCUUCGGAUGGCCUAAGUAAAGUGGCGAACGGGUGAGUAACAGGUGGGUAAUCUGCCCUUUAGUUGGGGAUAACGCCUAGAAAUGGGUGCUAAUACCGAAUGAGCCCAACAUCACCACGGUGAUGUUGGGGAAAGGUGGCCUCUGCUUGCAUGCUACCGCUGAAGGAUGAGCCCGCCCCCUAUUAGUUUGUUGGUAGGGUAACGGCCUACCAAGGCAACGAUGGGUAGCCGGCCUGAGAGGGUGUCCGGCCACACUGGAACUGAGACAAGGUCCAGUCCCCUAUGGGAGGCGCAGGUGGGAAUCAUUCGCAAUGGGCGAAAGCCUGACGAUGCGACGCCGCGUGGGUGAGGAAGGCCUUUGGGUUGUAAAGCCCAUUCGAGAGGGAAGAAUCUGUUGGGGGUUAAUAACCUUCGGCAGUGACGGUACCUUUUGAGAAAGCUCCGGCCAACUACGUGCCAGCAGCCGCGGUGACACGUAGGGAGCAAGCGUUGUCCGGAAUUACUGGGCGUAAAGGGCGUGUAGGCGGGCUUGUAAGUCAGGGGUGAAAUCGCCCGGCUCAACCGGGUAUCCGCUCUUGAUACUGCAAGUCUUGAGUACGAGAGAGGUAGGCGGAACUCAUGGUGUAGCGGUGACAUGCGUAGAUAUCAUGAGGAACACCGGUGGCGAAGGCGGCCUACUGGCUCGACACUGACGCUGAGGCGCGAAAGCUAGGGUAGCGAACGGGAUUAGAUACCCCGGUAGUCCUAGCUGUAAACGAUGGGCACUAGGUGUAGGAGGCAUCGACCCCUUCUGUGCCGCAGCUAACGCAUUAAGUGCCCCGCCUGGGGAGUACGAUCGCAAGGUUGAAACUCAAAGGAAUUGACGGGGGCCCGCACAAGCGGUGGAGCAUGUGGUUUAAUUCGAUGCAACGCGAAGAACCUUACCGGGGCUUGACAUAUAUCUGCAAGCUGUGGAAACACGGCCCUCCGUUCUACGGACGGAUAUACAGGUACUGCAUGGCUGUCGUCAGCUCGUGUCGUGAGAUGUUGGGUUAAGUCCCGCAACGA
Molecule: ribosomal RNA, 1119 nt
Filed under: uncultured bacterium
Lineage: Bacteria
Description: bacterial SSU rRNA
Rfam family: Bacterial small subunit ribosomal RNA
Source: RNAcentral